AUGGAUAUUUCAAAUAAAGAACAAGAACAAGAGGAAUUUGAAUCGGUCAUGGUAGCAUUAGCUUUGGAUGUGAUGUUGUCAGAGGAGAGACCGACGUAUGCACGAAGAAAAUUACACCUUUCGCCAGGUCCUGAAGAAAAAGAGACCGCUGAUUUGACAAAAUUACACCUUGUGUCAGGCCUCCAAGAAAAACAGAUCGUCGGAUCAAAGAGACAUGAGAUACAUGACAUGGUGGCCAUGGUCAUUGCAGAUGGAGCCAUACCUGGUACUGAUGAGCAUUUCUAUGCUUCACAACUUUUGUUGGAGCAGAAAUAUCGUGAUGUUUUCUCUUCAUUCAAGGGUUUUGCUCCUAGUGUGAGGCUUGGAUGGAUUAAGAGGACAUGGGAACUGAACAAUAGUUAG
This 402-nucleotide ribosomal RNA is filed under the name Triticum aestivum (bread wheat). RNAcentral's name for it is "partial small subunit ribosomal RNA". Lineage: Eukaryota; Viridiplantae; Streptophyta; Magnoliopsida; Poales; Poaceae. The record is from RNAcentral.